Non-coding RNA from Podarcis lilfordi (Lilford's wall lizard), 1099 nucleotides. The record is from the annotation of a GenBank genome assembly. Lineage: Eukaryota; Metazoa; Chordata; Lepidosauria; Squamata; Lacertidae.
CCACCUGCACCCACCUUAAAACGAUUUCUUAGCAUCUAGAAACUGAGCUCAUCCUUGGGACACUUCUGUACUUCUCAAACUACUUGCCUGGCUUGGCCUGUAGGGGAAUGAGGAAUAAUGCUCUUUGGAGAAGCGCAGAGAGUUACACAUAGCAAGCUGUCUUUUACCAAGUCAGACUAUUGGCCCAUUUAACUCAGUUCUGUCAACACUGACUGGCAGCAGUUCUCCAGGGUUUCUUUUGCCUGGAGAUCUACCUGGGAAGUUUUGCAUGCAAAGCAUGUGCUCUUCCCUUGAGCUACGGUCCUGACCCAAGUUCACAUUUGCUAUCAGGAUUAAUUUUCUUGAUUUUUUUAAAUAUUUUUUAAUUAAAUCAGAUUUUUUCUAUUUAAAUUGGAUUUUUAAAAUAAAAUGCUUUUGGAGGAAAAAUCUUUCUAAAGAUAGUUUUCUAUUUAAGUUACAUUAUAGUCCAAAGGCUAUUCAUCAGGAAAUAAGGAUUUUUUUAAAGUUUUUCAUGUGUGCUAAAAUUCAGUCCACUUUUUUUUAAAAAAAACACCAUUUAACCACAUCAGUUAACAAACAUGGAUACAUAUGCUAUAAUUUUAUUGUUUUAGUUAAAUAAAUUAUUUAAAUUGUUAUUAAGGAAAUGAUCUUUUCUCUCCUUCCAAUAAAGUACAGCAGAAAAGCUGUCCAAAUAUAAACAGUUAACUUAUUAAACCUCACAAUAAUUUCACAAUUACUGUAUCUGCCUAUGUAUUUCUAAUAGUAUAACCAAAUCAGUAAUUUUUGAUAUAACUGUAAAAACUACUCUGAAAAUUGAUUAUUCCAAAAAUGAAACCUUCAUCUGGUUGUAAAUAUUAAGAUUAUACCAGCAAGAAUGAAUAUUUCUGUAAAAAAAAAAAAGAUUUAAAUCAAGUAUUACUGACUAGUGAUUUAAAUCAAAUCAUAUUGACUAGUGAUUUAAAUCGUGAUCCACCCUGUUUGUGACUAAUUGCCAUGUUCAAGAAGAGGAAGGAAAGUAUUUGCAAAAGGAUCAGAAGGUGCGAGAUGCAGGCAGAAACCAGUCAAUAGUUGGAGAAUAGGCAGAGAUCUGAAUAGCUUU